UCAGAUUGAACGCUGGCGGCAUGCCUUACACAUGCAAGUCGAACGGCAGCGCGGGAGCAAUCCUGGCGGCGAGUGGCGAACGGGUGAGUAAUACAUCGGAACGUGCCCAAUCGUGGGGGAUAACGCAGCGAAAGCUGUGCUAAUACCGCAUACGAUCUACGGAUGAAAGCAGGGGAUCGCAAGACCUUGCGCGAAUGGAGCGGCCGAUGGCAGAUUAGGUAGUUGGUGAGGUAAAGGCUCACCAAGCCUUCGAUCUGUAGCUGGUCUGAGAGGACGACCAGCCACACUGGGACUGAGACACGGCCCAGACUCCUACGGGAGGCAGCAGUGGGGAAUUUUGGACAAUGGGCGCAAGCCUGAUCCAGCCAUGCCGCGUGCAGGAUGAAGGCCUUCGGGUUGUAAACUGCUUUUGUACGGAACGAAACGGCCUUUUCUAAUAAAGAAGGCUAAUGACGGUACCGUAAGAAUAAGCACCGGCUAACUACGUGCCAGCAGCCGCGGUAAUACAUAGGGUGCAAGCGUUAAUCGGAAUUACUGGGCGUAAAGCGUGCGCAGGCGGUAAUGUAAGACAGUUGUGAAAUCCCCGGGCUCAACCUGGGAACUGCAUCUGUGACUGCAUUGCUGGAGUACGGCAGANGGGGAUGGAAUUCCGCGUGUAGCAGUGAAAUGCGUAGAUAUGCGGANGAACACCGAUGGC
This 697-nucleotide ribosomal RNA is filed under the name Ralstonia sp. enrichment culture. RNAcentral's name for it is "bacterial SSU rRNA". It matches the Rfam family "Bacterial small subunit ribosomal RNA", at positions 24 to 716 of the family's 1533-position model. The record is from RNAcentral. Lineage: Bacteria; Pseudomonadati; Pseudomonadota; Betaproteobacteria; Burkholderiales; Burkholderiaceae.